Molecule: RNA transcript, 1998 nt
Organism: Daphnia pulex (common water flea)
Lineage: Eukaryota; Metazoa; Arthropoda; Branchiopoda; Diplostraca; Daphniidae
Exons: 5
Source: RefSeq, a predicted model, not a curated record
AAAUUGGGUAUGGGUUGCAGAAGAAUUUACUGUUAGUUUCCUGUUGACCACUGGCUGGUAGAGUCUAGUUUUUUUUCAACGUGUAACAUUUCUGUUUUUGAGAUUCUUGUUAAUUCUUAUUUUAUGUUUUGUGAAGUACGUCACCAUGACAUUGGAUUCGAUUAGUACCCCGAAAGUGAUUGUGCCGUACGAGUGGAUCCUGGAAAAUGUCGAGGAACAAACGGCAAUAACAAUUGCAUCGAAAAUGAUUCUGUUUCGAGGUGAACGAGUAUUCCGUGUGGGGUUGAAGAAUCACGCCAAAUCACCCAUUUUGUUUUUCAUGGCAAUUGAUCUCGGCAAAAUCGGGAUGAAAGUGGAAGAAGUAACGUACCAAAUUCAAGGUAGUAGCACAGGACCUGUAAUCAUCAAGCCAAUGACAAAGGAGAACAUCGGCGAUGGAGGAAGUUUGCAGCUAUUUAAAACUCCACUUGACAAGAAGAUUGUUGGAAAUUGCACGUUUUCUUUUCGAAUAAUCAUCGAAGGAGUUAUUUCCUGCUAUUCAACCUAUGGCUAUUCCUAUCGACUGUCUGAUCGUCUUGCCAAGGAUCAAUUAUGGGCUGCUCUGAAAAUUCAAAGACAUUUAGCGGACGUUGAAUUUGUCGUGAAAAACAAGACAUUUCCCGUUCACAAAGCCAUUCUUGCUGCUCGCAGUCGAGUGUUUGCAGACGAAUUUGAGAAGGUACAACCGGUAAAAGACGUUCCUCAUCAGAUCCGGAUUGAUGGAGUGGAACCUUCAACUGUGAAGAAGUUUCUUCACUUUGUUUACACGGGAGAGCCAAUGGGAACGUUGGCAGAUGAAGAAUUGCUCAAGUUAGCCAACAAGUACGGGCUGCUGGCUCUGUCUGGUUUAUGCCAAGUUGCACUGAAGAAAAUUGAGGCCAUGCAGAUGGUAAAAGUCAUGGACAUUUUAAAUAACGGAGUUGAAGCACCAAAUUCUUCUUCCAAAAUCAUGCCGGAUAUAGAUACAGAAAUAAUUUUUGAUCGAACUACGCCCACUUUUAGAUGCGCUUUGCGGUUUACUGAAUCCGGAAUACCUAAGUGUAUAAUGGAAUAUAAAAAAGAAGAAUUGUUUUUCGCUUACGUCACUGGGAAUUUCGGUGAAAGCUGUAUCAGUAAACCUGGGAUUCAUUUUACAUGCGCCAAGCAUCGAAAAUUCGGCUUGAAAGUUGAAGAUAUUUAUUGCCAACUGAAGAAUAACCGACUUAUGGUUAAGUUGGAAGCGAAGAAAUCAAAAGAAAACGCAAAAGUACUUUUACGCUUCAACAUGUGGUAUAAUUCAAUUUCUCUCACCUCAAAAUUCAUUGACUUCAACCUCGACAUCAAAACAAUGUGUACGAUCAGCAACUAUAACUACGAGAUGAUGGACGACGCUUGGCCGACAGAUUUUUGGAUGGCAGCAACAAACCAAAAGUUGACGGAUGUCGAAAUUAUUGUCGGAACUGUUAAAGUGAUGGAAGCCCACCGAGUUAUUCUAUGCGCCCGGAGUCCUGUCCUGAAUGCAUCUUUUAGCAAAAUCAGAUACACUGAAAAGUCUAUUGUCAUAAUCGAAGCAGAAUUCGAUGUCGAGAUUGUCAAGAAUUUUCUAAAUUUCCUUUACACCGGAUCGUUAAAAACGACUGACGGUGGCCAUCAACUUGGUAAAUUGGCCGCAAUGUACGACGUAGAGACAUUGAAAAAUGUGUGUCAACUACUUAACGCCAACCCACCGGAUGCCGAAGAACUGACCGACUAUCUUCUGCAGCUUUAAUCGCCGGAUAAGUGCCGUUUGUGCAGUGUUUGGAUAUCAAAGUCGAGAAAUAACUACAAAAAGGUAACGCAUUUACGUCCAUUUUACUGACAGGAGACACGUCGUUAUCAUUUAACACGUCAAAUAGUGAAAUUCAAAACACCUUAUAUUACAGCCAAUUGCCACAUCUUACACACACCUCCCUACACUGAUUUAUCAGCACCUGAUAGUGU